UGGCUCAGGACGAACGCUGGCGGCGUGCCUAACACAUGCAAGUCCAGGAGAAAAGGUUUCUUCGGAGGCCUGAGUAAACUGGCGAACGGGUGAGUAACACGUAGGUAACCUGCCCUUAGAUUUGGGAUAACAUUGCUAACGCGGUGCUAAUACCGAAUGAUGCAGCGGAUCCGCAGGAUAUGUUGUUAAAGCUGGCCUCUACUUGUAAGCUAGUGUCUAAGGAUGGACCUGCGCCCCAUUAGCUAGUUGGUGAGGUAACGGCCCACCAAGGCUACGAUGGGUAGCCGGCCUGAGAGGGUGAUCGGCCACACUGGGACUGAGAUACGGCCCAGACUCCUACGGGAGGCAGCAGUGAGGAAUAUUGCGCAAUGGCCGCAAGGCUGACGCAGCAACGCCGCGUGAGGGAUGAAGUUCUUAGGAAUGUAAACCUCUGUUAGGAGGGACGAAUAGACGAUUGUCGAACAGGCAGUUGUUUUGACGGUACCUUCAGAGAAAGCCCCGGCUAACUCCGUGCCAGCAGCCGCGGUAACACGGGGGGGGCAAGCGUUGUCCGGAAUUAUUGGGCGUAAAGGGCGCGUAGGUGGGAUAGUAUGUCUGGGGUGCAAACUUAUGGCUUAACUGUAAGCUUGCCUUGGAAACUGCUAUUCUUGAGUUCGGGAGAGGGAAGUGGAAUUCCUGGUGUAGCGGUGAAAUGCGUAGAUAUCAGGAAGAACACCGGUGGCGAAGGCGGCUUCCUGGCCCGAUACUGACACUGAGGCGCGAAAGUGCGGGGAGCAAACAGGAUUAGAUACCCUGGUAGUCC
RNAcentral lists this ribosomal RNA (802 nucleotides) under uncultured bacterium. RNAcentral describes it as "bacterial SSU rRNA". It matches the Rfam family "Bacterial small subunit ribosomal RNA", at positions 20 to 796 of the family's 1533-position model. The record is from RNAcentral.